This is a long non-coding RNA of Octodon degus (degu), 344 nucleotides long. RefSeq lists it as uncharacterized. The transcript is spliced from 3 exons. NCBI's taxonomy places the organism in Eukaryota, Metazoa, Chordata, Mammalia, Rodentia, Octodontidae. The record is from RefSeq and is a predicted model, not a curated record.
UUGAUACUCUCACCCUGUUGGACUCAGGAAAAGUAAUUUUCCAUGGUUCUGCACAAAGGGCUGUGAACUAUUUUGCAUCAGCAGGUUACCACUGCGAGCCUUACAACAACCCUGCAGACUUCUUUCUAGAUGUGAUGUGUGGAGACUCCUCUGUUGUAUUAAACAGUGAGAGAGAGGACUGUGGAGACCUGGCUGAUGUAGGACAGAGACAGGCAGAAGGCUCUAGAGACGCUCGGGCUUCACUAAACAGAGAAGAAGAAGGCUCUGAAGCUGAAGAGAGAGAAAGACUAGCUGAGCUUUAUGCCAACUCUUCCCUAUACAGAACAGUAGAAGGUGAAUUAGAU